AGUGAACGCUGGCGGUAGGCCUAACACAUGCGAGUCGAACGGCAGCACAGUAAGAGCUUGCUCUUACGGGUGGCGAGUGGCGGACGGGUGAGGAAUACAUCGGAAUCUACUUUUUCGUGGGGGAUAACGUAGGGAAACUUACGCUAAUACCGCAUACGACCUACGGGUGAAAGCAGGGGAUCUUCGGACCUUGCGCGAUUGAAUGAGCCGAUGUCGGAUUAGCUAGUUGGCGGGGUAAAGGCCCACCAAGGCGACGAUCCGUAGCUGGUCUGAGAGGAUGGUCGGCCACACUGGAACUGAGACACGGUCCAGACUCCUACGGGAGGCAGCAGUGGGGAAUAUUGGACAAUGGGCGCAAGCCUGAUCCAGCCAUACCGCGUGGGUGAAGAAGGCCUUCGGGUUGUAAAGCCCUUUUGUUGGGAAAGAAAAGCAGCAGGUUAAUACCCCGCUGUUCUGACGGUACCCAAAGAAUAAGCACCGGCUAACUUCGUG
This 492-nucleotide ribosomal RNA is filed under the name uncultured bacterium. RNAcentral describes it as "partial 16S ribosomal RNA". It matches the Rfam family "Bacterial small subunit ribosomal RNA", at positions 29 to 507 of the family's 1533-position model. The record is from RNAcentral.